GGAAUCCUACGGGGGGCAGCAGUUGGGAAUAUUGGACAAUGGAGGAAACUCUGAUCCAGUGACGCCGCGUGAAGGAAGAAGGUCUUCGGAUUGUAAACUUAUUUUAUCUGGGAAGAAAAAAAUGACAGUACCAGAGGAAGAAGCACCGGCUAACUACGUGCCAGCAGCCGCGGUAAUACGUAGGGUGCAAGCGUUAUCCGGAUUUACUGGGUGUAAAGGGCGAGUAGACGGUACUACAAGUCAGAUGUGAAAUGCUAGAGCUCAACUUUAGAACUGCAUCUGAAACUGUAGAACUAGAGUACAGG
This 305-nucleotide ribosomal RNA is filed under the name uncultured bacterium. RNAcentral describes it as "bacterial SSU rRNA". It matches the Rfam family "Bacterial small subunit ribosomal RNA", at positions 333 to 652 of the family's 1533-position model. The record is from RNAcentral.